RNAcentral lists this ribosomal RNA (465 nucleotides) under uncultured bacterium. RNAcentral describes it as "partial 16S ribosomal RNA". It matches the Rfam family "Bacterial small subunit ribosomal RNA", at positions 338 to 795 of the family's 1533-position model. The record is from RNAcentral.
CCUACGGGAGGCUGCAGUAGGGAAUCUUCCACAAUGGACGAAAGCCUGAUGGAGCAACGCCGCGUGAGUGAAGAAGGGUUUCGGCUCGUAAAGCUCUGUUGGCAGGGAAGAAAGGUAGCGGUAGUAAUCAGCAGUUAUUUGACGGUAAUUGCUUAGGAAGUAACGGCUAACUACGUGCCAGCAGCCGCGGUAAUACGUAGGUGGCAAGCGUUGUCCGGAUUUAUUGGGCGUAAAGCGAGUGCAGGCGGUUCAAUAAGUCUAAUGUGAAAGCCUUCGGCUCAACGGGAGAAUUGCAUCAGAAACUGUUGAACUUGAGUGCAGAAGAGGAGAGUGGAACUCCAUGUGUAGCGGUGGAAUGCGUAGAUAUAUGGAAGAACACCAGUGGCGAAGGCGACUCUCUGGUCUGCAACUGACGCUGAGGCUCGAAAGCAUGGGUAGCGAACAGGAUUAGAUACCCUAGUAGUC